Molecule: ribosomal RNA, 164 nt
Filed under: Trifolium ciliolatum
Lineage: Eukaryota; Viridiplantae; Streptophyta; Magnoliopsida; Fabales; Fabaceae
Description: 5.8S ribosomal RNA
Rfam family: 5.8S ribosomal RNA
About the family: 5.8S ribosomal RNA (5.8S rRNA) is a component of the large subunit of the eukaryotic ribosome. It is transcribed by RNA polymerase I as part of the 45S precursor that also contains 18S and 28S rRNA. Functionally, it is thought that 5.8S rRNA may be involved in ribosome translocation.
Source: RNAcentral
AGAAUGACUCUCGGCAACGGAUAUCUAGGCUCUUGCAUCGAUGAAGAACGUAGCGAAAUGCGAUACUUGGUGUGAAUUGCAGAAUCCCGUGAACCAUCGAGUCUUUGAACGCAAGUUGCGCCCAAUGCCACUAGGUUGAGGGCACGUCUGCCUGGGCGUCACAU